Molecule: ribosomal RNA, 252 nt
Filed under: uncultured bacterium
Lineage: Bacteria
Description: partial 16S ribosomal RNA
Rfam family: Bacterial small subunit ribosomal RNA
Source: RNAcentral
UACGGAGGAUGCGAGCGUUAUCCGGAUUUAUUGGGUUUAAAGGGUGCGUAGGCGGACGCUUAAGUCAGCGGUAAAAUUGCGGGGCUCAACCUCGUCGAGCCGUUGAAACUGGGUGCCUUGAGUGGGCGAGAAGUACGCGGAAUGCGUGGUGUAGCGGUGAAAUGCAUAGAUAUCACGCAGAACUCCGAUUGCGAAGGCAGCGUACCGGCGCCCAACUGACGCUGAGGCACGAAAGCGUGGGGAUCGAACAGG